CGAAAGUUUCCUUUCGGGAAGCGAGUAGAGUGGCGUCCGGGUGAGUAACACGUAGGUAAUCUACCUUUGGGUGGGGAAUAACAAUCGGAAACGGUUGCUAAUACCGCAUAAUGCAGCGGCACCGCAUGGUGACAGUUGUUAAAGCGGGGGAUCGUAAGACCUCGCGCCUAAAGAGGAGCCUGUGGCGGAUUAGCUAGUUGGCAGGGUAACGGCCUACCAAGGCAACGAUCCGUAGCCGGCCUGAGAGGGCGGUCGGCCACACUGACACUGAAAUACGGGUCAGACUCCUACGGGAGGCAGCAGUCGGGAAUUUUGGGCAAUGGGCGAAAGCCUGACCCAGCAACGCCGCGUGAAGGAUGAAAUCCUUCGGGAUGUAAACUUCGCAAGAAUGGGAAGAAUUAGUAGGGGUUAAUACCCUCUAUGAUGACGGUACCAUUUGUAAGCUCCGGCUAACUCCGUGCCAGCAGCCGCGGUAAUACGGGGGGAGCAAGCGUUGUUCGGAUUUACUGGGCGUAAAGGGCGCGUAGGCGGUCAGCACAAGUCAGUUGUGAAAUCUCCGGGCUUAACUCGGAAAGGUCAACUGAUACUGUGCGACUAGAGUGCGGAAGGGGCAACUGGAAUUCUCGGUGUAGCGGUGAAAUGCGUAGAUAUCGAGAGGAACACCUGUGGC
Molecule: ribosomal RNA, 670 nt
Filed under: uncultured bacterium
Lineage: Bacteria
Description: bacterial SSU rRNA
Rfam family: Bacterial small subunit ribosomal RNA
Source: RNAcentral